Non-coding RNA from Theobroma umbraticum, 3138 nucleotides. The record is from RefSeq and is a predicted model, not a curated record. Lineage: Eukaryota; Viridiplantae; Streptophyta; Magnoliopsida; Malvales; Malvaceae.
UGCGCGUUGGUUUGCCUCCUUUUCUCUCCCGGUUUUUCUCCUUGAACUUCCUUAUGGCGGUGAUCGCCGAACUCUAUUUUGAUUAAAUCGGUCUGUUUUGGUAUUUAUUCUUCUCAGAGUUUUCACAGAAGUUUCGGUACCGUUCAAUGUUGAACAUCGUGAGUAUGGGGUCUCUUCUGGGUUAAUUAAUUUGUGCGGAUGGACAGAUGGUUCUUUUGGGUUCCCUUCCUCUUUUACGAGUUCUAUAUUUCUUGUUUUGUUUUGGAACUUUCUAGGAUAUUUCAAUAUAUGGUUUCUGACUGCAGUGAUGUUGCUGGCUUUCCUUUUCUAAAGUGCUGAUCCCUGAAAAUUUCCUCACGGCCGUGAUCGCCACUAUCACUGGGGAUGUUUCUCCUUCCACGUUGUGAAUAAUUCUUUCUUUUGAAGUUAAUUAGUAAUAUGUCAGGAGAUGAAAGAUUAUUAGUACUUUUUGUGGAUUUUGGUAGGAAUUUUUCUGCAAUUUCUGCGGGUUAGUCACAUUAUGUUGGGAGUGUGAAAGAUUCUAUCUAUUGGAUCAAUGGAGUCUGAAGAGAAAAAGGGGUGCAUAGACGAUUAAUGAUCAUAGUCAAUGUUAUGUCUUCACCUGAUAACUCAUAAAUCCUAUGUUUUACAGCAAUGGUAACCUUGCUCAGUGAUCUUCUUUAUGUGUUUGUGUUUUUUAAGGUGGGAAAGACAUUUUCAGAUUUCAAGUUUUUGCGCGUUCAAAUUUUGGGUUUUAGUAUCUGGACAUUUGCUACUGAACAGCUUUUUAUCAGCGGUGGAAAAUUGUUCAUCGCUUUUAUCAGUUUGCUUGAUGAAGGCUUUCAUGUGCAGUGGUUGGCUGGACUAUUGUAAUGGGGAAAAAUGAUAAGUCUUCAUUCUUGCUACUAAUUUCUUGUUCAUUGUUGCAAGAUCUUUUACUUUGAUCUUCUUGUUUUAAAAAAAAUAUAAAAAUUAAAGCUGUUUGCCCUUUGUGUGCUUUGUUUUUCAGUUGACCAUUUUUUCUCUUGGCAAAUCUUGACUCCUGAUUUUCAUAGGCAGUUUUUGACAACAGCAAUUUUGGAAAUUCUACCUUAAGCAGAUAACACAAAUACACAAUGGUUACUUGCAACUUUUUUAUAAAUAUUUUCGCACCCUUGAUUAGGAUUUCUUGGUUUUUAUUGAUUUGAGUGUCUUUUAACAGUUUUGUUUGAUCAGGUUCAGUUGGAUUUUCAAUUUUGGAAUCCUGCCUCAAUUCUCAAGGAGAUCGGCUUCCUGGUUCUUAUCGCAUCUCUUCAACAUUUUUAGUUUGGAGCUUUUAGCAUCCCGUGUAGUUAAUGUCACUGAGCAUUAUAUGACUUUUUGACCCUUUUAUUGUUUUAGAUGCUGAUGUGUUAUCAGUUUUCAAAAUUAAAAGCAGGAAGGGCAAGGAUGAAGGAUCUUCCUGCAGUUGGAGUAGGGUGCUUCGUCAAAUGUUUUUCGUGCACUGCGUUGUCAAAUGUUUUUCAUACACCCUUUUUUAUUCUUUGUUUUGGAAGUUCUUAAUUUUAGGUUUUUGUGCAGUAUGUUGCUAUUGAUUGCUUUCUAUGCUUACAUAUUCCUGAUUCUGAGGCGGGCUGUUGUUAGAAAUUACGACCAUUACGUAGGGAGAAUGAGAUCAUAUAUAGCUUUGUUAUCUCUUUCCUGGAUGGAGCUUCGGAUGGAGGGAUUGGGUAAGUAGAUGAGGAGGCAAGGCCAAUUAAUUGUUUAUGUCUUACAUUUACCCAAAAUCUGCUUAAUAUAACUCAAGAUAAGUACAGGUUUGUCCUGUAGAUUUAGGUUUGGAAAGAUUCUGGUGGUCGCUUGUCUCAAAAGGUUGUGGGCAACCUUGCUGGUUGGGAGAGUAAUCUUAUUCAGAUGUUUCUCUUGUGUUCAUGAUAUGUACGAAUACUUUUGUGAUUGUAGGUAGCAGAUAUUUCUCUGGUUUUUAAAGCUCUGCACUAACAUAUAUUUCAGUUGUGCUUUCAUUUCUUGGAUUUGUGAAGUUUGGUUUUAAUUUGUAAUUUUUACUACAUGUUGGUUGGGCUUUACCAAUGGAGAUAUUUUUACUAAGCCAUCAUUUCUGCUGUGGAUUCCUGUGUUCUGUGUAAUUAUAACUUUCACCUCUUUGCACAGUUUUUUUUUUCCCUCUUAAUUGUUUGCACCUUUUUUUAGGACUCUUGGUUUCUAAGACGUCCAUUGGAUUUCCUUGGAUUUUCAUAUCUCCCUGAUAUUCUUAGUUUUGGAGGAUCCUGUUUUGGUACUGAGCGUGAUACAACUUUAUGACCCUUUUAUUUUCAGACGCUGUUUGUGGAUUUUGCUUUAUGACCCUUUUAUUGCAAAAUUGUAAGGAUGAAGGAUUUUGCUUUUGCUUGGUUUUAAAAUCUGAUUUGCGUUUUUGCUUAUAGGCAGCAGAUGUGAAGCUUGUUAGAAAUUUUACUUGCAAUUUUCUUUCUUUCUUUUGGUUAUAUUUUUAUUGUAUUGUGCAAAAUUGUAAGGAUGAAGGAUUUUGCUUUUGCUUGGUUUUAAAAUCUGAUUUGCAUUAUUGCUUUGAAGGUAGAUAGUUUAUAAAAGUAUAGGCAGCAGACAUGAAGCUUGUUAGGAAUUUUACUUGCAAUUUUUUUUCGUUAUUUAGGUUAUAUUUUAAUUGUAUUGCAGAAGAUAAAUGUGUGGAAGAUGUGGCCAUUGGUUAAGGACUCCAAACAGAUGCUGUUUGGGGUUAUCAAUCUUCAGAGCUAAAAGGACAAGGAUAAAGGAUAAAUGAUCUUGCAGCAGUUGGAAUAGGGUUUUACCAAAGGCAAUUUUUAUUGUUGUUUGUGUUUCUUUUUUCAGUAUUCUUUGUUCCUUGGCAGCCAGUUUUGCACUUUUGGAGUUGGAUUAGAAUUUUUUUUAUUUAAAGUAGGAAUAUAAAAUGGAUUUGGUGUGAAUCCUGGAUGCUGUAUUUCUGGUCAACAGUCUUGGAAUUUUGAAUGGCAAUUGUUUUGUGGGAAGUAUGCCAUGUUAUUAUUUGACCUUGCAAUGGUAGUUUGUAAAUUUUUUCAGGCCUUUGAUCAGAUCUGUUUUUCAUAUUAAUAUAUGAUUCUUCAUUUUGCUGUGUUCCUUUCUUUUUGGGAUUUCAUAAUG